This 492-nucleotide ribosomal RNA is filed under the name uncultured Victivallis sp. Its description in RNAcentral is "bacterial SSU rRNA". It matches the Rfam family "Bacterial small subunit ribosomal RNA", at positions 8 to 491 of the family's 1533-position model. Lineage: Bacteria; Pseudomonadati; Lentisphaerota; Lentisphaeria; Victivallales; Victivallaceae. The record is from RNAcentral.
AGAGUUUGAUCAUGGCUCAGAGUGAACGCUGGCGGCGUGGAUUAGGCAUGCAAGUCGAGCGAUUCUCGCAAGGGAAUAGCGGCAAACGGGUGAGGAACACGUAAGUAAUCUGCCCCUAAAUCAGAAAUAGCUUCGUGAAAGCGAAGGUAAUGUCUGAUGACACCAUGAACCGGCAUCGGUUUAUGUUUAAAGACAGGGACCGCAAGGCCUGUCGUUUAGGGAUGAGCUUGCGUAGCAUCAGCUAGUUGGUGGGGUAAUGGCCCACCAAGGCUUAGACGCUUAGCUGGUCUGAGAGGAUGGUCAGCCACACUGGGACUGAGACACUGCCCAGACUCCUACGGGAGGCUGCAGUCGAGAAUCUUUAGCAAUGGACGAAAGUCUGACUAUGCGACGCCGCGUGCAGGAUGAAGGUUUUCGGAUCGUAAACUGCUUUUGUCAGGGAAGAAACUUCUGAACUUAAUAGGUUCAGAACUGACGGUACCUAAGAAUAGC